UUUCCAGUAAAAGAUUUGAAGUCCCUCAAGAACUAAAAUUAUAUGGUGAUGAAUGAAGGCAUGGGGAAAUAUAUAUUGCAUUAUGAGAAGCGAGGGAUCUGGAAUCCCUACUAUCAGCUCAACCAAGCUGAGAGUCUAUAUCAACAAAAUGCUUGUGAAGCUAUAGUGUCCAUUUAAACCUUACCUUAGCAUCAAUUGAAGGAUGAGUCCCUGGAUGCUCCCUUGAUUAGGCAUUUCUGUGAACCCAUCCAAAAUUAAAGGCAUAAGAACUUGAAUGAUAACAUCAAAAGGUAUUUCCCACCCUUAGAGUCAAUUAGGGGACCUAGGCUUUUAAAACUAGGGCUGGCAGAUGAGCCAGCUGUUGGCAAGAUAGCUCAAGUUUGGCUUGAAAUUCUGCUAAGCUUUCACUCGCUCGAUUGAGAAAUGAGCCGAGCUGAGGUAAUCUUAGCUUGCUCAAGCUCGGCUCGUAUGAGCUCGAAAUGCUAAUGUAGAAAUGAUUAUAUAUAUAUAUAUAUUAUGUUAUUUUAUUAUCAUUAUAUACAAGUAGUUAUUUUAGUAAUUAUAAAUUAAUAUAGAUUAUCCAGAAUAGAAUUUAUUCUGACUAUAA
This 607-nucleotide long non-coding RNA is filed under the name Phoenix dactylifera (date palm). RNAcentral's name for it is "long non-coding RNA (PDAC_LNC017969)". Lineage: Eukaryota; Viridiplantae; Streptophyta; Magnoliopsida; Arecales; Arecaceae. The record is from RNAcentral.